This 42089-nucleotide long non-coding RNA is filed under the name Setaria viridis. RNAcentral's name for it is "long non-coding RNA (SVIR_LNC010032)". Lineage: Eukaryota; Viridiplantae; Streptophyta; Magnoliopsida; Poales; Poaceae. The record is from RNAcentral.
AUAAUAAUAAUAAUCAUGUUUCCAUAAAAUUGCUAAGUCCAGAGAUAAUACAUAAACAUAGUAGACUGUUCAUGACACAUAUCACGGUGGACAGUGUUUGUGUCCUUAUUACAAGCAACGAGAGAUGCUCGUCACCAACACGCGCGCGCACAGAUGCACGACAUACAUAUAGUAGAGACCAACAGAUGGUCGUCCCAUAUGGUGAACAAUUUAUUGGAGAUAAAUAUUAACGUAACUUGGCCAUAGCUUGAAGCAUAGCAACAUAUGCCUAUGAGUGGCAUUCAUGCUAUCGUUUUAGGCUUGUCCAGCUCCUUCCAUCUUAGCAAGCACUUCCAUUUCUACCAUCUUAGCAGCAACUGUCAAAUUGAGAUACGGAAAUCCCAUUAGCGCAUGAGUUAAUUUUGCAGUGGAAAUAGAGUACAAGAUGUCUUCAUGAUGUAAGUAAUAUGCCUGAAGUUGUGAGAUGGGAAGUGAAGUCAACAAAUUACAUUAACGGAAAUGCAUGGAAGGCCACACAUACGUAUUAGUCCAUGAUAUGCUACAAAGCUUGUAUGUACAUAUAGCAAAUUAAAUGCAUUAAUUGAAUAGAGUGUGUUUAGUGAAUUUACCAGAAUCGUCCAGAAAACAUGGGAAACAGCAAGUGUUCUUGCAGACUGCGUCGGAGGCACCCGCACGAAUACAAAGCUGACAACAUAGUUUUGCCUGGGCGGAUGCGCAGCAGCCGCACUCCGCCGCGGUGGGGUUAACAUUGAGGCUCAAGAUGACCAGGCACAUGAUCACCAUCAAAGUGGUAGUCCUCUUUCCCUCCAUUGCCUCCUCUUAGCUUGCUGCUACCUUCCUUGGUUACCUAGCUAAGUUUAUUGGUUUUGUGUUGAGAGGUGUGAUUCUUGAAUGGACGUUGCCGGCGGCAAUUUAUAGGCAGCUGAGCUAUGUGAUGAUAUGGACUAGGUGCAAAUGGGUGGUUAAUGGCAAGGAAAGGGGCGUCAGACAAAGCCCAAUGGCAACUGCUGACAUGCGAUUAAAUUCAGAUCCACAUCCGGCCAUUCAAUAAUACGGUUGGAGUUGUGGCACAGAUAUAUUAUUGCAUGAUCAUCAAGAUAAGAUCGUACAGUGACUGAGUGAGACAAUAAAUAGCCAAGUAAACUAUUUUAUCCUGCUGCAAGCUGCAUUCAUAAGUUUAUUUCACCUUUGAUCACAAUACUCUUCACACACGUACGUCUCAGGGAGAUCUCACUUCCGCUGGACUGCUCACUUCCGCUGUCGUCGGUACUGCCAAAGACAUAAGCUCACAUCUGCUAUUGCGGAGCAGGCCAAUUUGCUGCGGAACUUCGGCGACGACCUGAAGGACAUGAACUCGGUGCUGGAGUCCAUCUCAGCAGCGCUCUAGGACGCUGACACCGGUAGAAAAACGACCUUCCAUCGUCAACAAAAAUCCCGGUAGCUUUUUUACUCGGUACUAAAGAGGUUUUAAUCUCGUGCAAACACCUUUAGUCCGGAUUGCUGUUACCACGCAACCCGAACUAAAGCGUCCCCCACGAGUUACUAUAUAAGGAUUGCAUCCUUUACUCAGUCAGAUAUAAUGUGUAGGUGAGAUGGUAAGGAAGCUAUACGUGAGGCUUCAGGUUGUGGGUUCGAAUCCAAGGAGAAGUGGGUGCAGCUGUGGCUUAAGCGGCUGAGGCACGCCGCCAUAGACAUCUCAGAUUUGCUCGAAGACUACCAAGACACUAGUGAACCCUUAACAGUAAAGGUGAGUACUUAUGAAUGUCAGCAUCCAUGUUGUCCAUGCUUCCAAUGUAAUAACAAGAUGGACUACUCUUCCUAGCGGACUCUUCACAACCACUCGUAAAGCUAUACGUUUCUCAAUGCAAUUUCGUAGAAGCCAAUCGAUCCAACCAAGUGACUAAAUCAUUCAUCCUUUCCAAUGAUGUGCAUCAGGUUUUCUACAUGAAGGGCAUCUCUAGCAAACCCAAGAUUUCAGAAGAAAAAGAAAAAUCAUUGGAGCCAAAGAGCCACAUAGUUCUUCCAGGAAAAAAAAAUCAUGGGAGUCGAGAACAAAUCAAACCAAUCAGAGGAUUAUGGUCAGCUUAAUGGCAUGCCUCCAUUCGAUGUCGAAGUUCACCCAAGCAUCAUGUUAGCCAAACAUCAAAUGUUCGUGCGUUGUUACGGUAAAGAUCAAUUGUGUUUUUUAAACUCAUGGAAUUUUUUUUCUAAGUUUUUAUUACACUUAUUGGAUGUCUACACAUUUGCUAGAAAACCAAAAUAAUUUGGACUUAAUUAUUUCUUUCAACUGAAGUACUCACUAAAUUUCUACCUUUUUAUUUAAGCAAGAGAGUUGCUAAAAAAAAUGGAUACAUAACCAUGUUGUAUCGUACAAAGCAACCACAUUUCACAUAUAGUCCGGCUUACCAAACACCAUUUUUUACUGAACAUAGCGUACAUGAGUUAAGAGACAUGGAUUUAUUUCUAUUGCAAGUAGCAUAGCGUACAACCUGCCUGCACCGAUGCAGCUCAAUAUGCGAUAAUUUUUAUCUUCCCAUGUAAUUUUUCUACUCUAGUACAUAUUGAACUCCACAUUAAUGUCAUGUUCUUUGGCGCCCCAGACGGUUCCUAAAGUUUGGAAACAAAAUAGAUAGCCAGAAAUUUUUUUAAAAAAUAUUUAUAUGGAUAUUUGUAUGUUCUUUGCAAACUAACAAUAUUGUUUACCAAUAUCAAAAGGAAUAUGGCUAGGAGCCAUUGCCGCAUAUGGCAGGUGAUGGUAGAUGGCGUAUGGGAUUUCGUUAAUUUAAUGGUAUAAUAAGCUGAAAUACAUUUUCUAUUUGCAAAUGAAUCAUAGCUGAAAGUGGUGAGAUUGUUUUUUCGCCGGUUUAGCAUCCUGUGCACCGGUUCAACUGGAGGGAAGCGGUUCACCGAGACGGAUGACAAUUUUACGGCAGAAUCAUUACUUGUUUUAUUAUUAGGUGAAGAUUUUAGCUUUUAGGUAUCUCACAUUAACAAUCUGUUUCUAGUGUAUAAUGUAGGAGACCCGUAAAGAGUCUACACACACAUAUAUAUGUUGACUAUGAAUGUAAGUUUGUUGGUUUUAUGUAUGUUCAUUUGGAGUUUAUAUAAAUUUUACAUUUUAUAGUUUUGUGUAUAUGACGAAGAUCCAUGACUUGCAUUAAUUUAACCUUUCUUCCAACAACUCUUAUGCAUGCUGUUUCUAGGGGAGCGCACUGGUUGCAAUUUUGGUCCCCGAUAUAGCAUGAGGACUUAAGGGAGACGGGCACGUCGUAACCUUAGAUAUUUUUGCAAGAAGCAAAUUAUACUUUGCUUUUGAUUUUCUCCAUGCCAUUUGCUGACUCUUAUCCCUUUUAUUUAUCAUUAUAAGAUGAAAAUAUUGUAAAAACUUGGUUACGUGCGGUCGCAGAAGCUAGAGACUAUUUCUUUUUUUAAAAAUACGCAAGAGGGAGAAACUUGGUAACAGCUAGACAGUGAAGAUCGCAUUUCAUAAGAAAGAUGGUGCACGUUCUUGUUUGGCUGUUAACGAAAUGACUUCGUUUCACCACACCACCAGAGAGCCCCAUUGCACUUGCAGCAAAAGCGUGGAGCCGCUUUCAACCAGCGUGCAAUAAUGCAGUCCCGCGUGUCUUGGUCUUACAGGAUAUUUGGUUCUUUAGUCCGGACUAAAAUUCAUGUCGCAUAGAAUAUUCAGAUGUUAAAUAGGAGGACUAAACAUGAGCUAAUUAUAAAAAUAAUUACACAAAUGGAGGCUAAUUCCCAAGACAAAUCUAUUAAGUCUAAUUAAUCCAUCAUUAGCACAUGUUUACCGUAGCACCGUAUUGUCAAAUCAUGGACUAAUUAGGCUUAAUAAAUUCGUCUCGCAAGUUAGUCUCCAUCUAUACAAUUUGUUUUAUAAUUAGUCAAUGUUUAAUACUCUAUCUAAACAUUCAAUGUGACUGAAAUUUUAGGAGGUCCUAAAGAACCAAACACCCCUUAGUCUCCGCCUGAACUAUAGCAGGUGCUGGCAGCGGUAGCAGGGUCGUCCAUUAUAUCUAUGGAUGGAAAUGAUCUGAUUCGGAUGGAAUCGAAUUCGAAUAGCACUUUUUACCACAUACUAAUCUGAAUUGGAUGUUCUCGAAUGUGAAUGCAAAACGGAUAGUUCAAAUUUGAAUACUUUGCGGAUUUUUGCAUAAUAUUAAUCGAAGAGAAUUUGUUAAAUUUAGCCGAGACAUAAAUUUUUCUAAAUUCAAAUACUUUGCAGAUUUUCGAAUGCAAAUUUUUUCAUACGAUCUCGGUUGAAUACAAACUUUAUAUCAAAGUUGUAUAUUUAGAUUAUAUAUAAAACUUUGUAGUUGACCUCCUUUUCAUUUAAAAUUUUUUAAUAGCUCAAAACAUUAUUCUAAGCUUUCUAAUUUCAAAAUCUUGAAUUUUAAAUUUUUCAAACGACCUCGGAUGCAAACAAGCUCUAUAUCAAAGUGCUUAAUGAGAUAUAAAAUUUUGUAGUUGACAAGUUUUUUAGUUGAAAACAUUUAGUUAUCACAAACAUACAAGUUCUUCAUUUGAUGUCGAGGAUUGGAAGUGUUGAGUUUGAAGAAUAUAUUCUUUGAUUACAAACUUUUCCAUAUGAUCUUGGAUGAAUACGAACUUUAUUUCAAAGUUGCAAAUUUAGAUUAGACCAAAAACAGUAUAGUUUACAAUUUUUUCAUUCAAAAUUAUUUAGUAGCUCAAAAUGUUAUUCUAAACUCUCUAAUUUUGAAAUCUUGAAUUUUAAAAUUUUCAAAUGACCUCGGAUGCAAACAAGCUCUAUAUCGAAGUGGUAGUUCUUAAUGAGAUAUAAAAUUUUGUAGUUCCAUCUGAGAUCAUUUAACAGUCACAAAUAUACAAGUUUUUCAUAUGAUGCUAAGGAUCAGAAAGAUUAAGUUUGAAGGCUGUAUUUUUUUAAUACAAAUUUUUGCAUACGAUCUCGGAUGAAUACAAACUUUAUAUCAAAAUUGUAGAGCUCGAUGAGAAUUUAAACUUUGUAGUUGAUAUAUUUUUCAUUCGAGAAUGUUUAGUGGUCCAAACAUGUAUUAUAAGUUCAGAGAAGAAACACACAAUCGGCCACGUCAUCAAUUGACAACUUCCAAACUGAGCAUUCCUAUUGGUUCACACCUUUCCCUUUCAACUCGUCAAGCUUAUCUCCUCCCACUCCUCCAUCGUUCACUCCCCCUUCCCCUUCCUCUCUCCCUCCCUCCCUCCGCUCCAGCAGUGGCAGCCCGACCUGCCUCCUAGGACGGUGGUGUGCGGGGCUCGGGCAUCCCUGGCCUCUAGUGGCGUGGCAGGGCGGCCUCCAGCAGCGAUGGCGGAACUCGGCCUCCGGUGGCGCACAGGCAGCGCAGCCUACCUGGUCAAAGGCGGCGCAACAGGGCGACCUCCCCAGCCUCCGGCGGCGCGCAGGGCAUCCAUGACCUCCCCGGCCUCCCUUGCCAGAGGUGGUGCGCGGGGCUGCGCCGACCUCCCCAACCAGAGGUGGCAAGGCCCCAGCUUACGGCGGCGCGUGGCUCCCCAGCUAGGGUGUGGUGGGGCGGCGGCAAGUCAGGCGUGGCCGCGUGGGGGUGGGGGGAGGGGGUUGGGCUGGGCGGAUUCAGAUAGUAUCCAUUUAACCAUCCGAAAUGUGGAUAUCCGUUUAACAAUCCGUUUAGCAAAACCGAAUUUGGAUACUUCCACUUAAGUAUCCAACUAGGAUUCGAAUGCGGAUGGUCCUACCAUAUUGUUAUUUCAGCGGAUACGAAUAUGGGAUAAUUCGAAUAACGACUUACCCAUCCCUGAUUAUAUCCGUGUAAAUAAAUAAUUGCGGCAGCAGGUUCCCGUCGCCACGCCCCCGUCAAACCAAACAAUUGCUUGCGCGACACCGUGUUACUAGAUCUUGUACAGUACUCCCUCCGUUGCAGUACUCCCUAAUGAAAGUUGAGAAUCGAUCGACAACCACGGCUAGUUGCUAUGCACUCGAUCAGAUGGUCCAGGCGCCCGCUGGUAAUCAGGUCGUGGUUCACGCGCAUCAGGCCAGCUAUGACGUUGCCAGCAGUGCUCAGUACACAAAUCUAGCUAUCAGUCGGAUCCAAUUGGGCAGGCAUUUGCACUGUGGUUGUGUUUGAACCUGUAGAUGUCGUUGUCAUUAUCAGGCACCAUACAUCCUCUCUCAGAGGGUGUUUCACCCCCUAAACUUUAGCCCCUCUCACAUCGAAUGUUUUAGAUACUAAUUAGGAAUAUUAAACAUAGAAAAUUUACUAAACCCAUUACAUGGAUGGAGGGUAAACGGCGAGACAAAUCUAUUAAAUCUAAUUAGUCCAUGAUUUGACAAUGUGCUGCUAUAGUAACUAUUUGCUAAUGAUGGAUUAAUUAGACUUAAUAGAUUUUUCUUGCUGUUUAGCCUCCGUCUGUGCAAUUAGUUUUAUAAUUAAUUCAUAUUUAGUCCUCCUAAUUAGUCUCCGAAUAUUUGAUGUGACACGGACUAAACUUUAGAUAGCACACCAGGGACCGACACCAUGCAUGCUGAUUUCAUAUCAUAAUUAAGGAAAGUGAUAUCAUAAUUAAGGAAAGUGGUAGCAUCCAAGAAAUCGAUCAUGUUUCUUCCCCCUUUGGCUUUCCUACUAGGAUUUGGAUAGCGGGCCUUCCUACUAGGAUUUGGAAUCCGCUAUCGCAUGACUAUCUUAAUUAUGUCCCAUAGUCCAAAACUCACAAAACAUCAAAAAUCCAUCGAGAAUAAAUUAAGUAAAAAACAUGCGCACACAGAUAAUAAUAAUAAUAAUCAUGUUUCAAUAAAAUUGCUAAGAUUAGAGAUAGUACAUAAACAUAUUAGAUUGUUCGUGACACAUAUCAUGGUGGAUAGUGUCUGUGUCCUUAUUACAAGCAGCGAUAGAUGCUUGUCACCACACACACGCACGCACAGAUGCACGACAUACAUAUAGUUGAGACCAACGGAUGGACGUCCCAUAGGGUGAAUAAUUUAUUGGAGAUAAAUAUUAACAUAACUUGGCCAUAGCUUGAAGCAUAGCAACAUAUGCUUAUGAAUGGCAUUCAUGCGGGUAGCAAUGCUAUCAUAUGCUUUUAGGCUUGUCCUUAGCUUCUUCCAUCUUAUAGCAAACACUGCCAUUUCUUCCAUCUUAGCAGCAACUGUCAAAUUAAUUGAGAUAUGGAAAUCCCAUUAGCGCAUGAGUUAAUUUUGCAGUGGAAAUAGAGUAGAAGAUGUCUUCAUAAUGUAAGUAAUAUGACUCUGACAUAGGGAGUGAAGUCAACAAAUUACAUUAACGGAAAUGCAUGGAAGGCCACGCAUAUGUAUUAGUCCGAUAUGCUACAAAGCUUGUAUGUACAUAUAAUAAAUUAAAUGCAUUGAAUAGAGUGAUUUUAGUGAAUUUACCUAAAUCGGAUUAAAAAACAUGGGAAACAACAAGUGUUCUUGUAGGGCUUUGUUUAGUUCCCAAAUUGGGAGUAGCAAAGUUUGCAUUUUACCAUAAAUGCGCAACUAUAGCAUGUAGCAUUUUGUUUGUAUUUGUGAAUUAUUAUCCAAACAUUGACUAAUUAGGCUCAAAAGAUUCAUCUCGCAAAGUACAACAAAACUGUGCAAUUAGUUUUUGAUUUCGUCUACAUUUAGUACUCCGUGCAUGUACCGCAAGUUUGAUGUGAUGGGGAAUCUUGCUUUUCAAUAGUGACAAAGUUGGGAUUUCGGGGGGAAGGCCUGUGUCGGAGCCACAUGCAAGAAUGGCUGACAUUGAGGCUCAGACAAAGCCCAAUGGCAACUGCUGACAUGCGAUUAAAUUUAGAUAUCCACAUCCAGCCAUUCACAUUUAUGAGAUAUGGACACGGUGCAAAUGGGUGGGGUCCUGAUAUGGAGGUGCGAAUGGCUGUCUACUUGUAUAGUGUAGCUCCAAUGUACGUAUAUGUAUCUUAUGCAUGUAUACAGUUGCACAAACUCUGAACCAACUCUUCAUAACAGGUCUUUGUUACCAAGUAACUUUACUUUUGCACGUUUCAGCCGAGAGGUAGAAGAGAAUAUUUUUGCAUUUUCCAUGUGCGUCAGUGGUAGAGAACUAGGAAUUAGUUCCGGAUGGUAGGGCACAAAUCUUCCAAACAACUAUCCGAAAUUAAGCAAUCGAGAUAAAGGGUGCCAUCUAUUCUCUCCGAAAAACACAGGUACCAAAAAGAAGAAGAGAAGAGGGAGGGCCUCCCGUUAAGGCCCGCUCGGGGUCUCCAUCCCACCACGCGCCCUCCCAACCCAAAGCCCAUCGUUUUCCCUCCGUCCCUCCCCUCUCCAUUGCCGCCGCCGCUCCCCUCAUCCGAGCUCGAUACGGGUGGUCGGCGGCCCCUCCUCUCCGCUCCCGCCCCCGGCCUCCCUUUGACCGCCGGGCGCCGGCAUCACUGCCGCGGCCAACCCCAGGGCGCAGCGCGUGCCUCUAUUUCUCUCCCCCGUUCAAGGGCCCUUUGAUGGCGACGAGCACCCACCCACCAGGUAUGCCCUCCCCUUCUCUUCCUAACCCUAAUAUAUUCGGAUCUCACCCAGUCACAAUAUAUUACCUAAUAGCUUCGAUUUUGUUUGCAAAAAUCAUCACGUGCGCACCCAUGUCCGCUAGAUUCUUGCGCCUGAUCCUGUGCUGCUAUGGUUUGGGCGGGGUAGACUAGUUGAUUCGUGCACUUUUGGGUGCUUGUAGUGCUAGGUUUUGGAGGGGGAUAGCCCAGUUGAUUCCUCCGUUUUGGGUGCUCAUGGUGAUAGGAUUUGGAUGGGGAUAGCCCCAAUGAUUCGUGCGCCUUUGGGUGCUGGGGAUAGUUUUGGGUGCCUGGAUAGUCCAGUUUCAAUGUCAGUAUAUGCGUAUUUUGGGGAGAAUUUUGUUUUGGGUGGUUCUGGUGCUAGAGUUUCUGAUGCUUAGUAGCCCAGUUUCAAUCAAAUUCCCCCAUGGGUCGUGCACUACGGGAAACAAGAAAAUUGCCGAGUGUAUUUUUUUUGUCGAGUGUUUUUUUUCGAGCACUCAGCAAACAAGCUCUUCGCCGAGUGCCAAGUCAAAAACACUCGGCAAAAAAAAACACUCGGCAAAUCGGGGCUUUGCCGAGUGUCAAAUAAAAAACACUCGGCAAAGAAGGGGGUUUGCCGAGUGUUAAAAAAAACACUCGGCAAACAGGAGGGUUUGCCUAGUGUUUUUUUGACACUCGGCAAAAAAAUAAUUGUUUUUCCUCUUUUCACCUUGAAAUUUUUUCUACUCCCCACAUACAACACGUGGUACUCCAUGUUAAAAUUUGGUAUAUUUUUGGAUUUAUUUGCUAUAUUUAUUUAAUUAAUUGCAUUACAAGGAAAUUUUUGGUAUAAGUCAAAUUUGAACUGCAAGUGAUUCAAAUUGUGGAACAAAAUGAGUAGAAAAAUGAUAUUCAUGUUAUUUGGCUCAAUUUGAGACCUGACCCAUGAAAUGAAAAGAAAUUUCGAACAUCUUGUUCAGGAAACACGACAAUGAACAUGUGGCGGUAGUAUUUUUAAAUUGUAAAAAAAACAAGCAAAGUCUGAAAAUCAUGAGAUUUGUAGUUAUGUGAUGAUAUAAUACGUGGAAGCUGUGGAAAAAAAUUGGAAAGGUUUUGCACAUUUCAUCAUGUACGAUGAUUACAAACCGAAGCAUAUCAGAAGAAGAAUAGUAACUUUGAGAAGGAUUCGAUAAAAUUUAGAGUCGAAGUGACGGUCGAGUUCGGUUUGACUACAAAACUUUUUGUAUAGUCAGUAGAGAACAUAUCUUAUUUCGUGUGAAAAUUUGGUAUUUUUUGAAACUGUUGGAUAUUUUUAAUUUUUUUUUAAAAAAACUUUGCCGAGUGUCCUAGGGUAGACACUCGGCAAAGAAAAACUUUACCGAGUGCCCGCCUAGGACACUCAGCGAACCUUUUUUUAAACCUACCGGCUCCGGCCGGCCCAGCCCACAAACACCACCCGCCCCCCGCCCCCGCGCCUUCUUCCUCACGCCGCCCCCGCCCCCCACCCGUGCCUCCGGACCGCCCCCUCCUCCCCCUGGCCUCCCCUCACGCCGCCCCCCUCCUCCCCUAGCUCCCUCCACCGGCGGCCCUCCCUCCCCCGGCGCACAUCCUCCACUCCUCCUCCCCUUCCCUUCCCUCCCCUCCCCUCCCCUCUUCCUCCCCUGGCCGGAUCUGGCGCCCCUAGCUCCCCUUUCUUCCGCGGCCAGAUCUGGCGCCCUCCCGGCGGCGGGUCGUGGCGAUCGGGGCGGCGGCGGCGGAUCAGGCCGCGGGGCGGCGGCGGCGGCGGGUCGUGGCUACCGGGGCGGCGCCCUGCCCCUCCCCUCCCUCUCCAUCUCCGGCUGCCGUCCACCCCCUCCCCGGAUCCGCCCCCCUCCCCUCCGCGCGGCCAGCCCCUCCUCCCUCUCCGGCCGCCGCCCCGGCCCCUCCUCUCCCUUUCUCCGGCCACCGCCCCGCCCAUCUUCUCUGGAUCCGGCCGGAUCCGGCCGCCGCACAGCCCCUCCUCCCCGGAUCCGGUGGGCGCGGACUUCGUGGUGGUGGCGCCGGAUCCCUCCCCUCCCUCUCCAGAUAACUCCCUCCACUCCUCCGCUCUUCCCCUCUCUCGCGCGGCGGCCUCUCUCCGGCCGCCGCCCCGCCCCUCUCCCCGGAUCCGGGGGGGGGGGGACUCCGCCCCUCUGCCCCGGAUCCAGCUCCCCGACCCGCGAGUGGGGCGAGCUUGCUCAUGCGGUCGACGUCGAGGCCAGGGUGUGGUGGAGGUGGUGGCCGGCGGGUGUGGUGGUGGUGGCGGCGGCGGGCAUGGCGGCGCGGAGGCAAGGCACGGCGGCCGGUGGGAGGCACGGGUGCAAGGCGUCGACGGCAGGAGGCAAGGCACGGCAGCAUGGGAGGUGGUGCUGUGGUGGUGGUGCUGGCGGUGGUGGCGGCGGCGGAGCAGGAUGUGGUGGUGGCGGAGGAUGUUUUUUUUUCAAAAAUUUGUUGCCGAGUGUUUUCUCGGCACUCGGCAAAGACUUUACCGAGUGCCCGACACAAAACACUCGGCAACUCAGUGUUUGCCGACUGAAAAAUUGCCGUGUGCCGUUUGCCGAGUGUUACACUCGGCAAACGGUUCGCCGAGGGUUUUUUGCCCUUCGCCGAGUGCCCCUAGCACUCGGCAAUUUCACUAUCUCCCGUAGUGGUGGCUGGACUUAUGGGGGGAUCAUUGAUGGGGGACUAGUUGGAUACUUUUUGGCUGUUUUGGGAGUCCUUGGCAGCGGCUUCUCAGGGCGUACGUAGCCCAUUGUAGAUUCCAGCCGAGAAGAUUAAGGAAUUGUGACUGCAACCAUGUUACUUUUCUAGGACUCUGUUUCUGAUAUUGUUCCCGCUGCAUCUUUUCAUCCCCAUGGUGAAUGUUGCUGUUGAUCUGUAGAUUGGAUUUGUUCCUCGGUAGCUUUAUUAGAUUUGUGCUGAAUGAUAAUCUCUGCCUGUGAUAUUUUUCUUCAUUGCGGAUGUGUGCCGAGUAUUAUCCCCUUUGUUCAUUCUGUUGGCUUUUUUUAUUGUCUCUGUACUCGGCUGUUCAGCUUGUGCAGCUAAUGAUCUAAUGUAUUUUGUCGUAACUAUGUAUUUUUCGGAUGUGUGCCGAGUAUUAUCCCCUUUGUUUAUUCUGUUGGCUUGCUUUCAUUGAUCUUAAGAUAACUGGUGCUAUAAAUUCACACUAGCUGAUGCACUUGCAAAUAGCUAUGUAAAUAUGAAAAGAAGUAUUUUUUUAUCCUUUUGUUUGUUUGGCAUCAUAUCUGUUUAAAUGGCAUAGCAAUAAGAAUUUUUUGUUUUUGGGGAAUCAUAUCUGCUUAAAUGGUAUAGAAAAUGCUGAGUGCACUGUCAAAUAGAUUUUCCAGCAGUCUGCUUUCAGUUGUUUUUGCAAAUCCUCACAGGCCAGUGAACUGACUUUGUUUUUACCACCCCAUGCCAUUUAAAUGACUAAAUCAGUCAGCCUAAUACUAUAUAUGGUCAUGCUAUGAUCUUAUUUCUUGAAGCUCUAUAGGUCAACCCAUAAGGGUAACUUAGUUUUUCCUAUUCUGGCUGGGGAAGUGGAUACGAUGGCUAUCCUUGGUAGAGUUAAAUACAUUGGCGGCUCUUAGCGCGCCAAUGUGGCACCACAAUAUCGAACAUAUGUAGAAACCCCCUUGUUUUUUCUCAUAUCCCUCUCUCUCAGCGUCCUCUUCUCUUCUUCUCCUCUGUCUCCUCCCCUCCCAUCGCGUGCUUUAUUGCGCCGCCGCCAUCCGCCUCCAUGUAUGAACACGUCGUUUGUCAUGAAGAAGCAGUUGAUGAGGCAAUCAAGCAUGUGGUGCACAAGGUUCUUCUGCUGGCCAAGUCCGAGUCGAACAGCCGCGCAUUCAUUGGGGAAGCACGCGCCAGGCAUCACCAGGCUCCUCGUGCCCCUACUCUGCUCCAAGGACUCGGUGCUUCGACGCGCUGCUUUCCCUGUCCGGCGAGCGGGGAUCGUUGGGAGAUGAUCGAUGGAGGAUGGAGCUGAUCCUCCUGUACACGGUGCCGGUGGGGAGCAGGGAGCUGCGGAGCAGGUCCACGGGCGGCGCCAUUACAGCAGGUGCAGGCUAAGGGUAAUGAGCAGAUCGAGGCGAUGGAGGAGGACCCGCACGAGGUGCAGCUUCUUCGCCUCCUGCGCAAAGUCAGCGCCCAAGCAGCCGCUGAGGGACAGGCCGAGGCUUAGCUCGAUCUCAUCCGACUAAAUGGUGGCUGCACUCCCACAGUCCCACUGGUGCUCCUCCCUUCUGUCCGAACCUGCCGAGGAAAUCCCUCGAUGCCAUGGGUCCCGGCUGGACGACUACUCCUCCCACAGAUUGACUGAGGAAGAAGAGCUUCUCAGUGUCCAAAAAUUCAGUUACACUGGAAACAGCAACCAAUUACGUUCUUCCGGCUCAGCCAAGCCCCAAUCUCCUUGCUUCUGUGCGCCCCUGCUAAAUAUUCCAGAAACCAAUCUGGUUAGUUGUUUUUUCACAUUUUCAGUGCAUGCCGGUGCUGCUGUGUGCGGCAUGCAUGGAGUUGUCGUGGGAGUGCACGGUGGCUUAGCUGGUGCGCCAGUGCGCGGGCACGAACACAACGGUGAAGAUGGCAGGGCCAUCUCAAAGCUCCUGAGCACCUGCACGCGUCGCUGAGCAGGACAUGCUGCGACGGUGGGCGAGCGCUGCUAACGCCCUGGGGAAGAGCAGUGGGUGCAGAGAGAGGGAGCGAGGGAGAGGGGUUCUUGUAUAUGUUUGCUAGCGUGGCACCGUUUACGGUGCCCGCCUAAGUGGCAUUCACGUGUCAUUCAUCCCAAAUGGUGUUGCAAGGUUGAACCUAUUGUGGGAGGCUUUUGGUUUCCCUUGACAGUAUCACCAGUGAUAUCACUGCGUUCUGGUUAUGUAUGAAACACUUGUCCUUUUAAAACCUUUCUGAAUUUAGAAACGAAUUUGAAACAUUACCCUCAUUUCCAUGUUUUUCUAUCUUUUGUCCCUGUAAAAUCAAACUAAAUUUGAAUUAUUAUGUUCAGAACUACAAGCUGAUUUACUUGUCCCAUUUGCUAAUAACAGGGCCUUGUGAUUUCUAAUGAACAUUGCAGAGCAUGUUAUAAAGCGUAUGCAUGAACACCAAGGGGAUGAAACCAUUGGUAUAUUUCUCACAACCUUUUGAACUUAUCAUUUAGCAUAUUUGUGUUCUAGUGUGACGUUUCAGCCACGAGACAUGAGAAAUGUUAGCUAUGGAUUUUGGUUAUUCAUCAUGGGUUCACAGAUUUGUUUUUCUCUAAAAGAAUUGGGAAGUAGCUUUCUUUCUGGGUAUAUGUGGGGAAAUGCAUAUGCAAUCUUUUAUUUAUUGAGGUGACUGUAAAAUUCUUGUCUGACUGAAUAUGCGAUUUCAACCUACAUGCUAUACUUAGGGAAAUUUGUGAAUCUCCUAAUGUCUGCUGCAUGGCAUGAAUGCAUAUUUUACUGGUCCAUAAUGUGAAGUUCUGUAUAUAAACUUCUCGUGUUGACCCUUUAGAACAUGCUAACUGGAGAGUUUUCUAGAGUAGUUAAACAAGAGAUUUAGUUAAAUCUGCACACAUAGGUGGGGCCUGGCAUACCCUAAGAAUCGGCCUAGCCGGUCAGCCCAUUAGUAAAAAAAAAAGCACCGCAGUCAGCAGUCCCCACGUUGGUCUUCCUCGAGUCGCGACUCGCGAAGCUCCCAUCCUCCGAGUCCAAGAUGGUGGACUGUGUCGAGCGCGGGGCGGGCGAUUAGUUGCCCGGCCGCCGGCGGGGGAUGGCCGGACGGCCAGAUCGCCGACUCCUCUAGUCCUCCCUCCAGCCUCUGCGCUUCUUUCACAGUGGAGCUAGCGGCGAGGCGCCCGACCGACACCCUUCUUCCCAAAUCCCGGCAGCCCUACCUCGAUUUGGCCUCCUCCGAUCAUUUGAUAAUCAAUUUGAUGAAAUUAAUAUGGAGUUGCUUUCUUGUAUGGUUGCCUUCAAUCCUGCUAAUUCAUUUGCUUCAUUUGAUGCACAAAAGAUACAUAGACUUGCUAUAUUUUUAUCCACAAGACAUCACAAGCACGGAUUUGCUAAAACUUGAAUUCCAGCUCGAUAUUAUAUUGAUGAUGUGAGAUAGGAUGAUAGUUUCAAAGGCCUACAAGAUCUUGUUAACUGAGACUCAGUUAAGCUUGUUGAAACAAACAGGCAUAAUAUUUAUGACUUGGUUUACUUGCUUCUCAAAUUGGUAUUGGUUCUUCUUGUGGCGACAGCUAGUGUUGAAAGGGAUUUUUGUGCAAUGACUUUGAUCAAGAGUAAGCUAAGAAAUAAGAUGGGUGAUAGUCUUUUGGAUGAUUGUCUUAUCACAUUCAUUGAGAAAGAUAUUUUCUUUGAAGUGGAUGAAGAAGAUAUAAUUAAGACUUCAUAUCCAUUAGAAAUCGUAGGCUGGAGAAGAAGUAAUAUUUUAAUUUUCUUUGAACGUUAGGUCUGUAAGCUUCUUUUAAACUAUCUACAUUAUAAUUUAUGGACCUUUUAAUUUAACCGUUGAAUUCAUGAUAUUAUGAGAUUUUUUUAUCUAUGUUAUUAUUGUUUACCGAUUUAUUACCAAAUUAUUAGUUUGAUCUUACAAUAUUGUAUUUUGGAUGAUUGGCUCGGCAUACUCUAAGUUUAAAUCCUAGCUCCGCCACUGUUUGCACAUUAAUGUGGCUUAUAUGUGUGGAGUCACUUAACCUAUGCACUUGGACCUCCACUCCCUUAGGUUUUAUGAACCUAAUUUGACAGCCUGCUCGUCUUUUAUUUUCUACCAAUCAGCUAGGAACGAACAUGGUGAUGUUUGCAUCUCUGCCAUCAAUGGCUUACAUGUCAUUAUGUAUCACAUUAGCAAGUCUUGUUUUGUUAUUGGCUGGGAUGACGGGGACUCUAGCUGGAAUUGAAUCAAAGUGGUAGAUCACAGGGUAUUCAUUGCCAUGUAUUUCUGCAGUUGCAUGGACUUGCAUCAAACGGACCUUCCUACUUAUGUGAUUGUCCUAUAUGAUCUCCUUUGAUUUCAUUUGCACACUGUAAUCACAUUAGCUAGAACACUCGCUUUUUGCUUCAAAUUUGAAAUUCAUAUCAUGAUGGACUAGAACGCUGAAUUUCUUGAUUGCUGAGUUACUAAUCACAUUGUGGCGCUGCCAAAGAAGCUGGACUCUUCAUUGUUGUUGCCUUGUGGGCUGCCGUGUGCAAAGAACAAGAGCGCACGGUAUUAUAAUAGCAGAGCAGAACACAGACAAGCGACAAGGAGCGGAGCAGAGCAGAGCACAGCCAGGCACAAGCAGUAGAGUAGAGCAGAGCAACCGGGAGAGGAGAGGGCACAUAUGCAGAGUAGAGCAGAGCCAAGCGCAAGCAUUCAUGCACUCAAGCAUGCAGCAGAGGUGUAGCAAGGCAAGCACAAGCAGCAGAGCAGAGGGAAGGGAAGGCUGGGAGAUGAAUAGGCGAAUAGUUACCUGGACAGAGCAGAGGGAAUGGAGAUGAUGCAGAUGCUUCCGGAGACUCGAGAUUUGGAGAGGAACAAGGCCACGUUGUGAACAAGGUCUCCUUUCUCUUCUCUAUUUCCCGCGCAAGUACUUGUGCAUAGUGGCUGCCUCAUCCUCCAGGACGUCCACUUCAACCUGAGGCGGGUGCCACAGACAUCCUGGCUAUGCGACGGCUACCCCCAGCACACCCCCGGCGCCUAUGAACCAUGAUCCUAAUACUAUAAAUUGUCAACCUUGUAAUCUUAUUUCAAGCAUGCUCUCUAUGUCAACCUGUAAGGUUAACUUCGUUUUUCCUUUUCUGGGUAGGGGAGUGGAUAUUGCUGUUAUUUAUAUUAUGUUGAUAUUGGUUUCCACAUGUCAUUCACCCCAAAUGUGUUGCAAGGUUGAACCUAUCAUCGGAGGAAUUUUUUUCCCUUUACCUUUAUAUCACUACGCUCUGGUUAUGUAUGAAACACUUGUCUUCUUAAAAACCUUAAUUUAGAAACAAAUUUGAAACACUAUCUUCAUUUACAUCCUGUAUGUGUUUUCUACCUUUUGUCCUAUAUGAUCUGCUUUGAUUUGAUUUGUGCAUAGUUUUUUCAAUUCAGACCUGGUGAUUUCUGAGGUUCAUGUUGUGCUGAUAAGCAGCCUACUAUUCAGUAACACUUUCAUGUGGCAUGUUCAUGUUAGCUAGCUAGAAACACUGCUUUUAGCUUCAAAAUUCAAAUUCAUGACAUGAUGGACAUUGACAAUGAAUUUCUUGAUUGCCGAGCUAUGUACACUGUAAUUCAGACCUGGUGCUUUUAGUUUUUUUCUUGAUUGCCGAGCUAGAAACACUGUGCUUUUAGUUUUUUCAAUUCAGACCUGGUGAUUUCGGUUUUUUCAAUUCAGACCUGGUGAUUUCUGAGGUUCACGUGUCACACCGAUUUUAAGAACAAAAUCGAGUGCAUUAAAUAUACAUGUACGCUAGGAUCAGGUUACACACAUGUACGACAUAAGCGAAUAUCAAAGACAAUGCCAUAACGAAAUAAAGAGAGUAUUAAUCAUUAUUACAUGACCGAAAGUCUCAAAUAAACCACAAAAUCUAUUUAUUACAUAGCGGAACUUCUAAGAUAGCAACGUCUCCACAGGCAGCUGACUGAAGAACUGUAUGCCUAGAACUCUUCAAAAUCGUGCAGGUACUCCUCCAGAUUAGCUUGGUAUGAACAACGGUUUUGCAAGGGUGAGUACACUUAUGGUUGGUACUUAAUAAGUCGUGGGAAACAAUGUAGUGUAAGGCAAAUCAAGGUAUGGCUAAGGCUUAAACAGCAUCAGCUUUUAAUUUAGUUGGUCAAAUUUUAUUAGCAAUUAAUUAGACGUAAAUUUAUACCACCCGAAAUUAAACAAGAACAUGAAUAAAAUAAUAACAUAACCAUAAAUGAAAUGACAACAAUUUAAAUCCAUCUUUUCAUAGCAUUAUCAUGUGAGGGUCCAGUCCGUUCUUAACCGUGAGCACCGCUGAUCGAUCAGUUUUACACUCUGCAGAGGUUGUACAUCUUUACCCACAAGUCGCGUAAAAGUUCAAAAGAAUUUUGGACCCAACCAUGCGGUAUUUGCAAGGCACCAUACCACACUUCCAAGGUGUGAUUGCAUAUGAACGCUACGAGGCCUUUACAAAGAUUCAUUAGUAAGUGGUAACCCGCUAAGGUUUCGGUAUUUGGCGUGCACAACCUAUCACAGGCCGCUAAUGCAACGACUCAGUCCCCCCUCUUGCCUCAUCACGAGUAAGAUUACCCCAGACUAAGGUUUCUAAUUAUUCAGCCAAGAUCAGAACCAUUUAGUCUUGUGGUAGCACUGUUUUCCUGGGUGGUUCUCCAUGUUCCGAUUAAACAUAAUGGUCUUGUAUUAAUGGAAGGUAUAACAUAAAUAAUACCAAAUUAAUAAUAAUUCAGAUUAAAUCACCAUAACCAUAUUUGAGCACUAAGCAUGAGCUACCCAACAUAAAUUUAACCCGGUUGGUCAAGGCAAGGUAGAUAAAGUCUAGGAAAUUCUUAAUUGGGACCCAUCAAGUUUAAAUUAUACUUUGCAUGGUAUGUUGCAUAGAACAUGAAAGUAAAUGUGAAUAGGACUGAAAAGGAGUGAUUAGGGACACGACUUGCCUUUUUAACCUUGUUCUUGCUGUUCGUACUCUUCGAAAACUUUGAUCUUCAAAUCCCUUGAACUGCUGACCGUCUACACGCGUCACACGACCACAUACAAGCAAACAAAUAUAAUACAUAAGAAAACAGUACACCAAUCAUAAUUAAAUAGAAGAAACAAAUUUGAAAAGCUAUUCUACGCAUUAAAACGAAAACACGGAUACAAGGAACGUUAAAAACGGAGCUACAGUGCAAAAACUACGCUUAAAACAAGAUGCAGGGGUAUAACUACGAGAAACCAAACUUCCAGGGAUUUAAUUUUAAAUAAUUUUGAACUGCAGAAGGGGCAGCAGGGCAAAACGUAGAAAAUGCAGGGGCUUAAGCGCAAAAGCAUGGCUGCUGACUCAGCUGACUUGAUGUGGAUCGUCGGAUGGCGAUCCGGCGGCCGGCAGCUGCUGCGCUGACGUCAGCGACGGCGAGCGCCGGCGAAAAACGGCAGUUCGCCGGAAUCGCCCGGGAACGCGCGACUGGGUGCAGAUUUGAGCGAGGAUUAGACUAGCAGAUAGAAACGAGCGCAGUGAACUCAUUUGGGAUGCCUACGGCGAGGACUUGGCGACGGCAUCGGCUCCGGCGAGAACUUGCGGCAGGGAAACCAAAUAAAAUAAAAUAACACGGUUCAGAGAAGCGGCGCUGGAGGAACGCGAGCGAUUUUGCGUGCGAGCGGAAGAAAACACUGCGAGGAAGAUGACUGCGGGCCCUGCUUGUCUGCGGCAGGAGGAGAGCUGCGUGCGAGAAGAACCUGGCCACGAUCUGGGCCGUUGCCUUCGAUCUGGGCCGAGGCAAGCUAGCUGGCCCGCUGCUGCGGAAAGGUGCUGGGCCACGGGCGGAGCACAGCGUCGGGCCAGAAAGGAGAUGGCUGCUGCGAGGAAACAAAAGAAAAUGAACUGGGCUGCGACAGAGGAAAACUGGGCGUCGGCCAGAAAGAAGCUGCGUGCAGCUUGCUCUUGUUUCCGAACUAGAAACAGGAACUGACGGAAAGACAGAAAUCAAUUGGAGACUGAAACUGACGCCCCAGACUCUGAACUUCGAAAAAACAGGACAACCAGCCAACUGACAGAAAAAAAAAAGCUUAACAACCCAAAAGCAGUACACAACCACGAAACCAGGCCACAAGACUGAAAAAGCUUGAUAGGAACAUCUGGCGACUGAACCAAAAAACUACAGAACUGCAACUGAAGAACUAGAGAACAGAUAAAUAACUGAUUGAACUCUGAAACUGAAACACCAAAGAGCAGGAAGCUGACUGACGGAAAAUGCAAAACAGCAACCCAAGGUGAAACACAAAUUCUUCUUCAAGCAUUCAAACAAAGAGAUAUGCAACAGCAUGAAUGCUCAAUAAAAUCCUAUAUUUCAUUAAUUAAUUAGAAAAAAUGCUCAAAUGCCUAGAAAAAUGCAAAAGUGACCUUAUAUGCCUUAAACAAGCAAAUUCGUUUCUAGCGAUUUUUGGUAAAAUGCAAAAUUAGAGAUUUUGGGUGUUACAUCAUGUUGUGCUGAUAAGCAGCCUACUAUUCAGUAACACUUUCAUGUGGCAUGUUCAUGUUAGCUAGCUAGAAACACUGUGCUUUUAGCUUCAAAAUUAAAUUCAUGACAUGAUGGACAUUGACAAUGAAUUUCUUGAUUGCCGAGCUAUGUACACUGUAAUCACAUUGUGGGGCUGAUAAAAUAAGCAGCGUUGAGACACAUAACAAUUGAAUCUUAAGCUUCACACAGAAUCUGGACCAGUCAUCCUCAUUCCUGUCAUGCUGGAAAUGUCUUUGAUACAUUUCAAUCACAGGCAAUUGAAUUCGUACUGGGGAGGAUGGCAAUGGUGCAUGAAGAGAGAUCAAUGUGGCAAAUCUCACAUUGUUCAUUACCAGGUAUCUCCGAUUUCUGGUUAUUUUAAAUUUACCUUGACAUGUGACUUAUUGAGGUAUUGUAUUUCAUCUAAUGGUAGUUCUGAAUUUAUGGUAACCUUGGAUGGGGUUUGUCACUUUAUACACGCACGGACUUACAAAGGACAGCAAAUGAGUAUAUUUAGAGGGCUCCUGUCCAACCAUGGACUAUACUUAUGUACCCUUUUUUGACAUGGUAAUUUGAGGUUAAUGGAAAAGUAGCGAUAGUCGCCUCCAGCGAAGCUACCUUCUUCGAAAGCUCCGAGGCUGCUUUCUCGCUCUUAGCAAGCCGAUCCCUCGUAAUCAUCGAAGAGUAAGAGACCUACAGAUUUUAAAAACCAAGUUACCAAAAAUAACGAAGUAAAAGACAACACUCGCAAGACAAACCACCAAACUAUCUCAUAAUUGUACCUUCUUUACGAGGUUCGCCUCCAAGUUAAAGAGCUCUUCCAAGAUCAUUGACUUCACAGCUUGCUGAAAAUCUAUGCGCCAAAGGAUAUAGUCGUAAGCAUAAAAUAAAAAUUGGUAAAAACCAAGGACAGCAAAGCCAUCUACAAGCUGUUCUUACCCUCAUACUUUCGCACCUCAACGGCGAUCGGAACAACCUUCUCUCUAGCCUCGCCCUUAGACGCCACCACAAUCUUCCCGCCACACAAAUCCACAACCCCUCCUUUACCUUUGCCCUCUCCCGAAGUCGUCGUGCCCGCCUUCUCCACCCUUUUUGAACCGCCAACAUCUGCAUAGCGCUCGCAACCUUCACCUUCAGCCCCCCAGACCAAAGACAGGUUGUGAGGAUUAUAAACCCUACCUUCGGCGCAUGUAGCUAGAAUCUCCGUGCGCCCGCUCAAGCCCAGACACUCAUUCAGUCCCUGAAGCCCCGCCGGCAACCUCUCACCUACAUCAUAACAUUCAACUUUUAGCCUCACAUGAUCCUCACAACUAACCUUACCAACGCCCCCCAUAGUUUCUUCCAAGUCCUUCAAAAAUUUCGUUGAGGCCUCACCACAAUCAAAGAACCGUAGCAUCGAUAGAAACACCUCUACAUGCUUACCAGAUCUCACAGCUUCGGCACACCCACCCUUUGGAUCAGAUGAGAACGCAUCCACAAGCUUCGCCUUUUCGGUGGCAAACCCCCUCUCAAGUUUCCCAACAUCAGUCAAGAGAUGUUGCGCGCUCUUAAACUUCGAGCUUAUGGAAGGCACCGUGAUCUUGGUACCAGCUGCCGAAGACGCGUCAACCUUGGCACCCGUAACAGUAACAGGAGCAAAUCGAGGUUUCUUGGCGCCUCUUUUGAUCCGUGCGGCGGGCCCGGUGGAUGAAGGUGCAAGAGCUGGAACCUCCUUAGGAGGGCGCAUAGAGACAGGAACAACAUAUGCCGGAUUGCUCAAGUCGCCAGACGAAGCUGUCGACCACGAUGGCAACAUAGCAGACGAAGCCCCCGCGGUCAUUUCCUUCCUUUUUUGCGCCUCCAAAUUCAAGGUCUUUUGCUUCGCCUUAGCGGUCACUUGCAAUUCAAUAGUGAGCUUCACCAUGGGUACGAAGUCAAAUUUUGCCUUUUUCCUCUGCUCAAGACUAGCACCGCGACGGCGCCUCUUGCCCGUAACUUUGGGGUGAGGCAGAACCACAAUAUCAUACAAGUCAAAAAUCUAAGAUGAUGACAUUCCAUUUGUAUCCAUGAUUUAUAUUGUGUUCCUUGAAUAUCCAUUAAAGUCUACUUGAAUUGAUUUGCAAUUAUGUGAAUUGUAUGUGAAACUCUUUCCUUGUAUGGUUAUUCUAAAGUUGUCCCUAGUCGGAGUUCAUGUGAGGACACAUGAAUAUUAGACUAGCACAUGUAUUAGUUGAUGACUAUGUUUCACAAGUCAUGGACAUGAAGAUGUGGAACUAAUAAUGUGGGCACAUGUGGAGACACGUGCUAGGACUGACCCAACACGAGAAGUAGUUCUCUCUUUAUACAACAUAUACGCUUUGUCCUUAGACCUGAGAUUGUCGCAUGUACUCAAGAUGUGGAUCGACUUACUUAGGGGCUAUCAAAUUCUACGCCGUAACAGGGUAGUUAUAAAGGUAGCUUUCGGGUUUGUCAAGAAGCAUGCUAUGAGACAUGGUCAAUCAAGAUGGGAUUUGCCCCUCUCUGAUUGAGAGUGAUAUCUCUGGGCCCCUCGAGUGAUCGGAUCCGAAAAUGCAUGGCCAUGCUACAUACGAUUAAGAGUUAGCCUACAAAAGGAUUCCGAAUCAUAGGAUCGAGAAAGAGCGGUCGGCUUGAAGCUAGACCAAAUAUCGUGAGGCAAAGGGAAUAGCAUGUAUAUAAUGUUGUGAUGGUUCGUCUGAUAUGAUCUUCGUGUGCGUAUAGGAGUUGGCACGUCUUGCUAGAGGUCGCUACCGACUAUUGGGCCGAGUAGGAGUACUCAGGCCAUGUCUAUACGUAUCCGAACCCAUAGGGUCACACACUUAAGGGGCUGGAAGCCCAAUUCGGAUGUGAUCCGAAUUGGAUUAGGUUUAGAAGUACUAAUGGGCCUUGGACCUAGAGGCCCGUUAGGAACCUCUAUAAAUAGAGGGGUGGGGGCGCCCUAGGGUUUACACCUUUUUGGUGAAACACAUCUGCCGCGCCUCCCACGCCUUCGCCUGUUGCAACUCGCGGACCUAGCAGUCCGGCUUGCGACGCUUCCUCCCUGCACGUGUGGAUACCUUGGAAGUGUUGCUCCUGCAGCACUUGGACGAGCCGCCAACGAGCCACGACGAGCCACGAUGAGCCGACGAUGAGCCGCGGCACGAGGGGGAUCUUGCUGCACGUGGACGAGCUGCUGAGGAGCUGCUGGACGUCGAUGUGUUCGACUACGUACGACUACGCUGAUCGACUUCGCUGCAUCAACGCGAAUCUACAUCUUCCGCAUCAUUGCAUCGAGUGGUAAUCCCGUGAUCCUGAUACGGCAGUUUUCCUAGUUUACGCGGUAGAAAAUUUUGUUUUGUGCUAGUGUAGCCUAACUCAUAUCCCAACAACGUGUGCUAUAGGUCACGCAAGCCUGAAAAUGGCCACACCGGACACCGGGUACGAAAACAUGGGGGAUGGACCGAACAUUUGAAAAUGGCCUCCAUAUGUGUUUUCGGCUAUGAAAAUGUGUGUUAUAGGUCACAGAAGCUUGAAAACGGCCGCACCAGCCACUAGGGACGAAAACGUGGGGGAUGGACCAAAGACAUAAAAAAUAGCCUCCAGACGCGUGUUCGGCCAUGAAAACGUGUGGUAUAGGUCCUGGAAGGCCAAAAACAGCUACACCGGCCACCUGGGACGAAAAAGUUUGUGUAAGACCGAACACUUGAAAAUAGCCUCUGGACGCGUGUUCGGCUAUGAAAAGGUGUGUUAUAGGUCACACGAGCCCCAAAACAACCACAGCGAACACCAGCUACAAAAACAUGGGGGAUGGAUCGAAUAAUUGAAAAUGGCCUCCAGACGUUUGUUCGGCCAUGAAAUCGUGCGUUAUAGGUCGCGGGAGCCCGAAAACGGCCACACCGGCCACCGGGAAUGAAAAUGUGGGGGAUGGACCGAACAAUUAAAAAUGGCCUCCGGAUGUGUGUUCGGCCAUGAAAACGUAUGUUAUAGGUCACGGGAGCAUGAAAACGGCCGCACUGGCCACUGGGGACGAAACGUGGGGGAUGGACCGAAGACGUGAAAAUAGCCUCCAGACGCAUGUUCGGCCAUGAAAAUGUGUGCUAUAGGUCAUGCAAGGCCAAAAACAGCUGCACCAGCAACCGGGGACGAAACCAUGGCUGUCAAACCGAACGCUUGAAAAUCGCCUUCGGACGCGUGUUCGGAUAUGAAAACAUGUGUUGUAGGUCACGCGUGCCCGAAAACGUCCACAACGGACACCGGGUACAAAAACGUGGGGGAUGGAUCGAAUAACUGAAAAUGACCUCCGAACGCGUGUUCGGCCAUGAAAACGUGUGUUAUAGGUUGCGGGAGCCCAAAAAUGGCCACACCGGCCACCGAGGAUCAAAACGUGGGGGAUUGACCGAACAAUUAAAAAUGGCCUCCGAUUGUAUGUUCGGCCAUGAAAACGUGUGUUAUAGGUCAUGGGGGCCCAAAAAUGGCCGCACCAGCCACCAAGGACGAAAAUAUGGGAGAUGGACCAAAGACAUGAAAAUGGCCUCCAGAUGCAUGUUUGGACAAAAGUGUGUGCUAUAUGUCGUGCAAGGCCAAAAACAGCUACACCAGCCACCGGGACAAAAACGUGGGUGUUUGACUAAACAAGUGAAAAUGGCCUCCGGAAGCAUGUACGGCUAUGAAAAUGUGUGCUAUAGGUAAUGGAAGGCUAACAAAAGCUACACCGGCCACCGGGGACAAAAUCAUGGGUGUCAGACUGAACACUUCAAAAUGGCCUCCGGACGCGUGUCCGGCUAUCAAAACGUGUGUUAUAGGUCAUGCGAGCCCGAAAACAACCACACUGAACACCGGGUACAGAAACAUGGGGGAUGGACUGAAUAACUGAAAAUGGCCUCUAGACGCGUGUUCGGUCAUGAAAACAUGUGUUGUAGGAUGCGGGAGCCCGAAAACGGCCACACCGGCCACCAGGGCAUGGACCAAACAAUUGAAAAUGGCCUCCGGAUGUGUGUUCGGCCAUGAAAACGUGUGUUAUAGGUCACGGGAGCCCAAAAAUAGCCGCACCGACCACUGGGGAUGAAAUCGUGGGGGAUGGACCGAAGAUGUGAAAAUGGCCUCCAGAUGCGUGUUCGGCCAUGAAAACGUGCGCUAUAAGUCAUGUAAGGCUAAAAAUUGCUACACCGGGACUAAAGCAUCCCCCAUGAGUUACAAUAAAAGGAUUGUAUCCUCUACUCAGUCGGAUGUACUGUGUAGGUGAGAUGGUAAGGAAGCUAUGCGCGAGGUUUGAGGUUGUGGGUUGAAAUCCUACGCACCGCGCGCACACGCGCAUAUUUUGUGUGAAAAAUCAUGUGACUUGUGAUCGGCCAAGGAGAAGUGGGUGCAGCUGUGGCUUAAGUGGCUGAGGCACGCUGCCAUAGACAUCUCCGAUUUGCUCGAAGACUACCAAGACACUAGCAAUAACAAGAACUACUGCUCUUCCUAGCAGACUCUUUACAACCACUUUAAAGCUGUGCAUUUCUCAAUGUAAUUUCGUAGAAGGCAAUCGAUCCAACCAAGCGACUAAAUCAUUUGUUCUUGCCAAUGAUGUACAUCAGGUUUUCUAUAUGAAGGACAUGUCUAGCAAACCUAAGAUUUUAGAAGAAAAAGAAAAAUUAUGGGAGUCAAUAAUAAAUCAGGCCAAUCAGGAGAUUAUAGUAAGCUCGAUGGUAUGCCUCCAUUCGAUGUCGAAGUUGGCCCAAGCAUCAUGUUAGCCAAAGAUCAAAUGUUCGUGCAUUGCUACGGUAAAGAUCAAUUGUGUCUUUUAAACCCAUGGAAUUUUUUAUCUAUGUUUUUAUUACACUUAAUGGAUGUCUACACAUUUGCUAGAAAAUCAAAAUAAUUUUGACUUAAUUAUUUCUUUCAACUCAAAUACUCAUUAAAUUUCUACCUUUUUAUUUAAGCAAGAGAGUUGCUCAAAAAAUGGAUACGUAACCAUGUUGUAUCAUACAAAGCAACCACAUUUCACAUAUAGUCUGGCUUAGCAAACACCAUUGUUGUCUUAACAUAGUGUUCAUGAGUUAGUAGACAUGGAUCUAUUUCUAAUUGCAAGUAGUGCAGCGUACAACCAGCCUGCACCGCCGCAGCUCAAUAUGCGAUAAUUUUUUAUCUUCCCAUGUAAUUUUUCUACUCUAGUACAUAUUGAACUCCACAUAAAUGUCAUGUUCUUUCACGCCACAGACGGUUUCUAAAGUUUGGAACUAAAUAGAUAGCCAAAAAUUUUAAAAAAAUAUUUAUAUGGAUACAUGUAUGUUCUUUGCAAACUAACAAUAUUGUUUACAAUAUCAAAAGGAAUAUGGCUAUGAUCAUUGCCGCAUAUGGCAGGUGAUGGUAGAUGCCGUAUGGGGUUUCUUUAACUUAAUUGUAUAAUAAGCUGAAAUACAUUUUCUAUUUGCAAAUGAAUCAUAGCUGAAAGUGGUGGGAUUGUAGAACCGCCGGCCAUCGUGUCCUUGUAGGACCGCUGCACGAGCCUGUGAGCCACCAGCCACCAUGCGCCCAAGGGCCAUCACCACGCCAUAAGAGGAUGCUGUCUACCCGGUUUCGCGCGCCUGUGCUAGCUGCCUGAACCUGGGCCGCCGCCGGUCGCCUGCCCAGCCGCGCGUUGCGCCAGGGUUUUGCUGGUGACGACCAUGGCCUUCGCGAUCAAAUUAAAAAGUUAUCAACUGCAAAGUAUUAGGUCUCGUUGAGCUCUACAAUUUUGAUAUAAAGUUUCUAUUCAUCCGAGAUCAAAUAAAAAAUUUGAUACUCAAAGCAUAAAUCCAUUAAUCUAGUCUUGCUAAUCCUUACCACCAAAUAAAAAACUAGCAUGUGUUGUGUGUUUGUGACCCUAAACGAUCACAAAUGAAUAACUUAUGGGCCUUGCUAGCGCCCGGAUGUCCAGGCCGGGGCACUAGCAUCAGACCCACGAGUAGCCGUCCGAUCAGGUUCGACACCACUUCAGGAUCUGGCUUAAAAAGAAGUCCCACCGAAACAUUGUUCCAUGUUGCAUGAAGCAACCCACUACCGUCGCCAGGUCUAGAGCAAGCACCACCUUCAAAUGUGCUGCUCACCCUAGCUAAAUAGGGGCAUUAAAAUAUUUCUCGCAUAUCCUUCUCAAAUUAAACAAAAUCGCAACAUCUGAAAAUUUUUACAGAAAACCAUGAAACAUAUCGAUUAGAUAGAUGUAACAAGAUGGAAUAUGGUAUAUGCAACAUAUAGGUUCCGAAAAGCAGAUGAAAUAUUAUGUAAUGAUUCUUGAAACAGUCAAGAAAAAUAGAUGUAACAUCUAAAAUUAAGAAAAGAAGCUUUAUGCAAAUUGCAAAAAGCUGAAACAAGUGGUUGAAACAUUUCAAAUCACCAAAUGCCACAUUUGAAAUGACCAGAUGAAACAUCACGAAAUCAAUUGCAACAGUUGAAGAUGAAAACAUUCAAAUGCCUUGCCUUUCUCCAAAUUUGACCCUCCAAGCAUGAGUCCAGCCAUUUGCACAUUAGACCCUUGGGAGGAGCUCACCGGAGAACAACAAGACCGUGUUAUCCAACAAUUUUCAGAUCAAAUUGCAACAUAAAGAACAAAGCAUUGCAACAUCUGGCAUCACGAGCUACAACAGCAACCAGUUAGGAUCAGGAGAAAGAGGGCAAACACAAGCCUAACAAUGAGUUAUAUCCGGUUUAAACAAGGAUAAAAAUGAGUGUAUUUUACACUCAUCAUGUUGUCUUUUCGCAGCUGUACCGCCUUUAGCGUGUUGUAUUGUUCCUAACACCAAGUCUCCGAGGCCCGAAAAAAUAAGGAAAGUGGUAGCAGCUCAGAAAUCGACUAAGUUUCUUUCCCCCUUUGGCUUUCCUACUAGGAUUCGGAAUCCUCUUUCGUAUGACAAUCUUAAUGAUCUCCCAUAGUCCAAAACUCACAAAAACAUCAAAAAUCCACCGAGAAUAAAUUAAGUAAAAAAACAUGCACACACAGAUAAUAAUAGUAAUCAUGUUUCAUUAUGAUUGCUAAGGUCAGACACAAUACAUAAACAUAUUAGACUGAGUGACCCACCUCACCUCAGAGUAUGCACCAUGUCUGAGUGACCCACCUCACCUUGCCAGGACACUGGUCCUGCCCUCGUGGUUCACGCGCCCUCGUGGUUCAGCAGUGGUCAGUACACAAAUCUAGCUGCCAGUCGGAUCCAAGGGCAGGCAUUUGCAUUGUGGUUGUGUUUGAACAUGGAGAUGUCAUUAUUAUUGUCAGGCACCAUACAUCCUCUCUCAGUUUCACUCCGCCUCACACACGGAUAGCACACCAGGGACCCGACACCAUGCAUGCCGAUUUCAUAUUAUUAAUAUUUAAUUUUUUUAAUGGUUGUUGAAACUAUAUUGUUGAUAUUUUUAUACAUAAUUUACGACCUAAUUUGGAUAUAUUUUUGAAAUAUUCCGAAAUCUUAAAUUCACACGUCUAGAGAUACAGUUAGUCCAAUCUGAUGUUUCCGAUUAUAAAAAUGAACAUAAAGAGAUAGGAAGCGAGAGACGUGAGGGGGAAAGUUAAAUUAGGGCCUAAGGGGUGAAGUUAGGGUUCCAGGUGAGCUGUCAUCACUACGUGUUUUUAAUCGAAAUUGGAAUGUCAGCAAUCGUCAGAUCUUGAGCCAACAGUUGAGACUGCCUCGGAAUGGUAAUUAGGUCUGCGCGAGCUUGCAUUGUGGCCUUCCUUGAAACCUUGGACAUAGGUGUUAUAUUAUUAUGUUCUUGCCAGCACACAGCAGUGAAGGACGACACAGUUGAGAUGUGCAUCACAUUUUCUAUAUGAAGGAUAUGUUUAGCAAACCUAAGAUUUUAGAAUAAAAAGAAAAAUCAUGGGAGCCAAAGCGCCACAUAGUUCUUCCAGGUAAAAAAAAAUCAUCCACUGGACCAGCACAUAGUAACGAUCCAAAAAGUCCAUAUUAAGAUUUUUUGAUAGCAGAAAAAACAUAAAAUGUCUAAUAUUUGUAGUAUUAAAAGGAAAAAUAAUAUAUUCACGUGACCUUUUUCCCGUAGCAAGGCACCGGUACGUGGUCAGACUUAAUGCACGAUGCCUAAGCAUCCAUUGGGCCUACCCUCGUGUGGAUCACGCGCAACAGGACACGGCUCACAAGCUAUGAUGUGCAGCAGUCGCUCAGAUGGCUGAAAGGUACCCUUAAUUUGAAUGGUACCAUAUAUAUAUAUAUAUAUAUAUAUAUAGUAAACAAGACAAACCACCGUUGAUACUACUUUGCACUACUUGAUACAUAUAUCUCCACCAAAAGCGAGGCACGUGGGGAGGAGAGAUAUGUGGUUGAUGGUGCGGGCACGUGGCGAGUGCACCGUACGAAAAUUUUGCUCGUGUCGGACGACUGAUGUGAAGCAUUACCCAAUCUUAAUUAUCUCCCAUAAUCCAAAACUCACAAAAACAUCAAAAAUCCGCCGAGAAUAAAUUAAGUAAACCAUGCACACACAGAUAAUAAAAUUGCUAAUAAGGCCAGAGACAAUACAUAAACAUAUUAGACUGUUCAUGACACAUAUCACGGUGGAUAGUGUCUGUGUCCUUAUUACAAGCAAUGAGAGAUGCUUGUCACCACACACACGCGCACAGAUGCACAACAUACAUAUAGUUGAGACCAACAGAUGGAUCAACUAGAGGUCACCCCAUAUGGUGAACAAUUUAUUGGAGAUAAACAUUAACAUAACUUGGCCAUAGCUUGAAGCAUAGCAACAUAUGCCUAUGAACGGCGUUCAUGCUAUCAUUUUAGGCUUGUCCGCUUCUUCCAUCUUAGCAAGCACUUCCAUUUCUACCAUCUUAGAAGCAACUGUCAAAUUGAGAUAUGGAAAUCCCAUUAGCGCAUGAGUUAAUUUUGCAGUGAAAAUAGAGUACAAGAUAUCUUCAUGAUGUAAGUAACAUGCCUGAAGUUGUGAGAUGGGAAGUGAAGUCAACAAAUUACAUUAACGGAAAUGCAUGGAAGGCCACACAUACGUAUUAGUCCAUGAUAUGCUACAAAGCUUGUAUGUACAUAUAGCAAAUUAAAUGCAUUAAUUGAAUAGAGUGAGUUUAGUGAAUUUACCAGAAUCGUCCAGAAAACAUGGGAAACAGCAAGUGUUCUUGCAGACUGCGUCGGUGCCACCCACAGCAAUACAACCAAAACAACAUGCUUUUGCCCGAGCGGCUGCGCAGCAGCCGCACUCUGCCGCGGUGGCCGAGUUAGCAUUGAGGCUCAAGAUGACCAGGCACAUGAUCACCAUCAAAGCGGUGGUAGUCCUCUUUCCCUCCAUUGCCUCCUCUUGCUGCUACCUUCCUUGGUUACCUAGCUAAGUUUAUUGGUUUUGUGUUGAGAGGUGAUUCUUGCAUUGAAUGGACGUUGCCGCGGCUGCAAUUUAUAGGCAGCUGCGCUAUGUGAUGAUAUGGACAAGGUGCAAAUGGGUGGUCCUGAUAUGGAUAAGGUGCAUGCGAAUGGCUGUCUACUUGUAUAGUGGCGCUCCAAUGUACAUACGUAUGUAUCUUAUGCAUGUAUACAGUUGAUGGAUGUACAUGUUUGUUGCACAAAUUAUUCUGAACCAACUCUUCAUAACAGGUCUUUGUUACCAAGUAAUUUUACUUUUGCACGUUUCAGCCGAGAGGCAGAAGAGAAUAUUUUACAGAGAGGGCAGAGAAGGAGGUUGGCGGAGGCGCCGUGGUAGGGUUCCCCGUGUCGCCAAGAUUUUUGCAUUUUAGAUGUGUGUAUUGAUCACUUCGUCGUGCUCGCGGGGCCCAACUCCAGGUUGUACCCCAGCAGACCACGUUCUGUUUCUCUGCCUCCAAUGAGCAUGCAUGCCUCCACAAGGACCACAAGACUUAGUAAAAAAGCUAAACUUUGCAACACGAUGUAUACAGAACGUUUUGAAAUGUACUCUCGUUAGGCAUUCACCUCCUUAACAAUCACUGCGACUGUAAAAGAGGUACAUCGACGCUAGCUAAAUAAACCACUAUAAGAUUUAGCAAGAGAUCAUUUUAUACAAUCCUGUAACGAAACAAUUUGACAAUUAUAGUGUCCAUAUAUUUUGACAAAAAAACGUUUAAAUUAUAUAAGGAGGUGGGCCCGAAAACGGUUGGAUUACAUCGAGAACGUUUUGAAACAGUUGGCGGAGCAGGAUUCUGGCGUGGAGCAUCUACAUUGUCGCGCGCGCGGACUGCCGGAGUAGGCACGCUCGACUUGUCCCAUCGCCAGCUAAAUGAUUUAGUACCGGAUGGUCUCUAGUACCGGUUGGAGCUACCGUCCACCAGGAGCUUUUCUAGUUUGGAACUGGUACUAAUGCUAAUAUUAGUAUCAGGUCAAAAACAAUCGGUACUAAGGCUAGGGAUGACACGUCAUUUUUCUAGUAGUGUGUGCAAUUGGUUUUGUAAUUAGUCUAUAUUUAAUACUUCUAAUUAGUAUCUACACAUUUUAUGUGACAGGGACUGAACUUUAGUCCGUGGAACCAAACACCCCAUAAGUAUGUUUGGUGCUGUAAGGAUUUCGGUUUUAUUUAAUUUCCUAGGCAUUUAAAUUUCUUUCUAAAAUAAGUUAAUGAAUCAUAGGAUCUCAUUGUUGUAUUCAAGCUGGUGCAUUGAUUUUGCCUAUAAAACCCGCCGCGGUCUUCGCAGCCCCCAUCAAACCCUAGCGCCCUUGCCACAAGCUCAGCACCGCUGCCGCCCGAGCUCGAGCACUAGCACCCACCCAUCGCCGUUGCCUUCCCGUCGAUGGGAUCACCGCCCGGAGCUUCGCAUCGUGGUAAGGAAGCCGCCCGUGAAGAUCCCAUGUGCUCCUAUGCCCUCUACCGCGUCCCCGAGUUCCCGGAGUUGCUAGUCUCCCACCGAGCCGACUCUCCGAGCUUCACGUCACUGGUGCCGCUCCGAAGACCUAGUUCGGUUCGCCAUGCACCUCGCUUCAUCCUGAGCUAAACCCCAUAAUGAAUGGUGGUCGGAUGCUCGCCGCCACGGCGCGUCGUCUUUUCUGUCGCCCGUGCAUUGCCUAUCCCCUUCCAGCCGAUUGCAGCUGUCCGAUCGCAAACCGGUGGCCCUGAUCGGAUACCAAGGUCAAUACCGGUCGAACCGAGCCGUGCGCUGCUUUUGCAAGAAGGCCCCUGUUUUUCUCUCUUUUUGCACCUGAGGUCCUACGCAGUUCAAAAGUAAUAAGAUCUAGGUCCUUUUUCUUUUGUUUUAGCCCGUGUUCUUUUAUAAAAUCCCGCCCACUAUUCUGUUUGGUCUUUUGACGCGUUAGACCUUCUUUUUAUAUGUUUAAUUAGGUUUUAGGUCUCGAUUUCUUUAAGUUUAGCCCUUGAAAGUUUAGUUCUCUCGCAGUUAAGCCCCUGAACCUUGUUUAGCUCAUAUCUUAAGCGUUUUAAAUCCGUUUUAACAGAUUCUUGCGCCUAUAAGUUCAUGUUGACGCAUAGAUUAGUUGACUUAUACGAACCUUGCUGAUUCAGCUCCUUGAUUGUGCUUCAGAUCUCGCUAGGGAAGAAUAAUGGAUGGGCUUUGGUUGAGCUUGUAGAUCGACUUGCAGUUGCAGUGAAUGAGCAGAGGAUUGGCAGUGAAUAAGAUCAGGCCGCUGCCCUGCUUGGUAGGGAAAAUAUCUGCUUGCUACCAAGGCCUGUGACGCAUGGACCCCAUUGAGAGUGCAUUAUUGACAAGGACUUAAAGCCAAGGGCUCCACACCUGUCAUUGAUCAGCUGUCUGCUGGGCGCUGCAAGGAGGUAGUGCAUGUUUGACAUAAAGAAGCAGGUGGCCCAGGAUUUACGAAAAAUAAGGAUCUAUUUGAUACCCUUGCUUAUAUUUAGGGGCUAAAAGUUGCUUAUUUGAAGUUGCUUAUUUUUAAUCCUAGCUGUUUGAUUGCAUGGGCUAAAGAGCAUUGAAUGAGGUGGAUAUUGUCAUGUUUGCCUCUAAUGAUUGCUUCCCAUCACAUUUCUCCCCCCUCAUUCAACGAGGGAAGGAGGUGUAAAGUGCACCUUUUAGCCCCGAUAAGUAACCCUUGUGUUGUUUACGGGCUGAACAUAAGUAGCUAAAGUUUAGCUCCAAUAAACAAGAGUGUUUGGUAUUUUUGGGGUUAAAAGGGGCUAAACUUUAGCUGCUUAUGCAUAAGCAAGGCCAUCCAAAUAGGCCCUAAGUAUGUUUGGCGUUGUAAGUAGGUUUUAUUUAAUUUCCUAGGCAUUUAAAUUUCUUUCUAAAAUAAGUUAAUGAAUCAUAGGAGUUCAUUGUUGCAUUCACGCUGGUGCAUUGAUUUUGCCUACAAAACCUGCUGCCGUUUCCGCAGCUCCCAUCAAACCCUAGCACCCCCGCCACGAGCUCCAGCGCCGCUGCCGCCCGAGCUUGAGCACUAGCGCACACCCAUCGCCGUCGCCUUCCUAUCAAUGGGAUCACCGCCCGGAGCCCGUGUCAUGGUAAAGAAGCCGCCCGUGAAGAUCCCGUCCACUCUCGUGCCCUCUACCGCGUCCUCGAGUUCACCGGAGUUGCCAGUCUGCCACCCAGCCGCCUCUCCGAGCUUCAUGUUGUCGUUGCCACUCUAGCUGCCUCUCUGAAGACCUAGAUCGGUUUGCCGUGCACCCCGCUUCAUCCUGAGUUAAACCCCAUCAUGCCACGUCAUAGUAAGGAAGCUGCUCAUGAAGAUCCCGUGCGCUCCCGUGCCCUCUACCGCGUCCCCAAGUUCACUGGAGUUGCUAGUCCACCACCGAGCCGCCUCUCCGAGCUUCACUUCACAGUCGCUGCUCCAGCCACCACUCUGAAGACCUAGAUCAGUUCGCUGUGCACCCCACCUCAUCCUGAGCUAAACCCCAUGACGAACUGUGGUCGGAUGCUCAUUUUCGAGUGAAUUCCGGCGAGAUGGUCGCCCGCCGCCGCCAUCUCCAUCGCCCAUGCACCGCCUGUCCCCUUCCAGCCGAUGUCCGAUUGCAAACCGAUAGCCGAAAUCGGAUGUGGUCACCAGGAUUAAUACCAGUCAAACUAAGCCACGCGUGCCGCUUUUGCAAGAAGGCCCCUAUUUUUCCCUCUUUUUGCACUUGAGGUCCUAUGCAGUUCAAAAGUAAUUAGAUCAAGGUCCUUUUUCUUAUGUUUUAGCCCUAUUCUUUCAUAAAAUCCCGGCUGCCAUCCUGUUUGAAAUAGAUACGGUUAUAGAUAUGCAAACAUCUGCAUAUUUCCAACCGUAUCUCUUUCGAACGGGAGACGCCUAACUAGGUUACGUGACAUACGAACAUCAUACGGAUAGAGAGGGGUAGGAUGUCUCACCUUGCUAUCCUACAAAGUGACGACUCGAGGACAGUAAUGUAGCCUCUCCUUCAAAAAAAGAACAUACUACUAUCAAGUUAAAUUUUUGACAGCACCUCCCCUGCACGUGGAGGUUUCCAUAACCUGCAUCAAAUAAAACGGCACGAUGGCUGACAACCACAUCUACAGCACCAGAAUGGCACGAUGGCCGACUUCCACAUAAAGUUCUUAUACCUUAGAUUGCCAAGUCAAACAUCCUUUUCUAAUUUCUAAAACAAAAGCCCUCCCACCUCUCUAUCUUAUACUUUCCUAUUUACUAAUUGCUUUUGUAAUUUCUAAUUUCUAUUUCAUCCUACCACCUCUGUACCCUUUUCUCAUUUCUAAUUCCAAUUUUCUAACUUGAAGAGCAAAGAUUGAUUACUAGGAGGGGUGAGGGACGCCGGCCUAGAGAGGCGAGGGGACGUCCGGCGGCGGCGGGUGCGUCGGGGGUAGGAUGCCAGGGGCGGCUGCAGGGGCGCCGGGUUGGGGGCGGCCGGGAUCGAGGGCACCAGUAGCGGGGGCACCGGGCCGGGGGCGGCCGGCGGGGCGGGACGCCAGGGCCGGGGCGACGGGCGCCGGUGGCGAGGCCGCCCGGCCGGUGGUGGCCGGCGUGGCGCCUGGGCCGGGGGGGGGGGGCGGGCGGGGUGCGGCGCGGCGCGCCGGGGCAGGGCGCCGAGGCUGGGUGGUGGGGUACGGGGCGGCGGGCGGGGGGUGGGGGGAGGGUCGGCGGCGGGGCGCGGGGGCGGCCAGCGGCGACGGCGGAGGGCGUCGGUGGUGUUUCGGAAGUGAUACGGAGGGGGUAGAGAGAUUCGUUUUCGCGGCUGAGUGUUCGAGUCAGAAGGCCGUGCGGCUUAAGUCAGGUGGUUUGCCGAGUGCGCGCGAUCUGGCACUCGGCAAAGUCAGAAGUUUUGCCGAGUGUCAGAUCGCGGGCACUCGGCAACUGCAGCUUUUGUCGAGUGCCCUGGAUUCGGCACUCGGCAAAGUGAAGUUUUAAUUUUUUUUAAAAAAAUUUAAUCGGAACACGGGCGUGCCAGCGGGCCCGUGACAUACUUUGCCGAGUGUGUAGCAAAAACACUCGGCAAAAUAUUAUCUUUACCGAGUGUUUUCGCUAGGCACUCGGCAAAGUACACUUAUAUUUCAUGUACACUUUUUCAAUAACGUGUUUUACUAACCUUUUUCUGAUAUACUUGGGAAAAACCUUAUCAAAUUCACUCAACAAUGGAUAUAUGGUUUUUCUACUGACAUUAUUCCAUUAUUUCAUUCAGUUAUAGCUCAAAUUGAAUUUAUAUCUAUUAAAAAUCAAUAAUUGCAUUUAAUAAAUAAAAAAUACCAAACGGAUCUGAAAAAUUUCCAAAAUUUGACAUGAACCAAUCUAUGUUGUAUGUUGCCUGUACAAAAAGCUUUGAAGUCAAACCCCAAUUCAAGUGUCACUUGGACUCCAAAUCUUAUCGGAUCCUUUCUAACUUCUAUGAAUCCUUUCGGGAGAUGAGUCGGUUUGUAAGCAUCAUAUGUCAUAAAUUGGGCGAAACCUUCUCAAUUUUUUACCACAGCCUCCACAUAUAAUAUCAUGACACCUUGACAAAUCUUGUGAUUUUCAGACUUCGUUUGCUUUUUUUAGAAUUUAACAACCAUUCAACCACAUGUUCGUGAUCGUGUUUUCUAAAAAAAUGUUCAAAAUUUCUUUUCAUUUCCUGGUUGAGACCUCAAUCCGGAUUGAAUAAUAUGAAUAUGAUUUUUUCACUGAUUUUAAUCCAUUAUUUAAAUCACUUGCAGUUAAAUUUGACUUAAAUAAACAAAUUCCUAUUAAUGCUAUCAAUUCAUUAAAAAUAGCAAACAGAGAAAAAAUAGACCAACUUUUAAGAUGGAUUACCAAAUGUCAUAUGUGGGGAGUAGAAAAAGUGUGGAGAGCAGAGGUGGAAAAAAAAGUUUUGCCUUUGCCAAGUGCCUACACAAACACUCAACAAACUUUGCGGAGUGCCUAUUGAAAACACUCAGCGAACUUCUGAGUUUGCCGAGUGUCUGGAGGGAGCACUCGGCAACCUACUUAUUUGCCGAGUGUCCGCGUCGGACACUCAGCAAAGUACUAACGGCUGGCACACUCCCCUAACGGACGGCGCACGUGCAAGCCAUGUGCUGGAGAUUUAUCGAGUGUCAAAUCGUUGCCGAGUGUCGUGUGGAUGUUUGCCGAGUGUCUUAUUUGUGACACUCGGCAAAGCUAUUGUUUGCCGAGUGUAUUAUUUAUGCCGAGUGUCUUCCAGUAUACACUCGGCAAAUGAUGUCUUUGCCGAGUGCUCGACAUAAAGCACUCGGCAAAAAUUUUACACUCGGCAACAUUCCUGUUUCCGGUAGUGAGUGACCCGGGACUAAAGACCCCCGUUGUCUCUGAUUGCUUUAUUCCGGAUGGAUUUUCAGGAGAUUUGCUCCCUACCAAUAGGGACUAAAGGCAAGUUUUCCACUUAUAGCAAACCAGUUAGCCCAUUGUUGAUGGAACGCAUCACUAGAAACAGCUCGGGAUCCACUUGUCCAAUAAUCGAGAGGGCCUAUAUAUGGACCACGUGUGCGGAUCCCUAAUUAGGAAAAAAGAAUAAUGGAGUAGGACAUCUCCAUGCUCACCUAGUAGCCGCUGCUAGCUUGUGCGUGUGGAACACGAGUGCCGGCCCAGUUGGCGCUAAGACAUCGUACGUGCAUUAAGGCUACGAUCUCUUUCUUCUAACUCAUGCUUGUGCUAUUAUACAUUAUUGCAUGAUCAUCAAGAUAAGAUCGUAUAGUGACUGAGUGAGACAUGUAUGUACUAACAUGCAUUUAAGCCUCGAACUGUGUGUUGUUACGUGAGCUGCCUCCUCACCUCGCCUCUGAAUUAUUGAACCGUUUCCAACAGUGUUGGUCUCAAAUAAAUUUGACACCAAACAGAUUUAUGAAGAAGAGAGAAUAAUACUUGGAAUUGGAAAAAGUUUAUCUCUCUUUACAAUGGAGUAGGGCUCCCUUUUAUAGUGACCCAUAAGCCACUUUACAUUUGGAAAAUGUCCUUCCUCAACCACUACAUUAAUUCCUAGGAUAUGCUGUACAUAAAGGUCAUUUGAGGUAACGUGUACAAAUGAACUCUUCCACAUGGUCACGUUUCUCAUGCCUCCUGUUUUCCAACCUCGAGACAUCAUCUUCACGCCAAGUUGAUCAUCUAGCCUCGAGGCUCCAUCCACGAUCCAGAAUGAACGUCCAGGCUUGAGGCUCCUUCUUCGUUAAGCUUUGUUGAGAACUCAUAACCUCACAUAGUUCUCCUCCGAGUAUUGUUCCCGACUCAGAACACUCGAGGUUUAGCUCAGUUGGAGUUUAGCUAUUACUGUUGCUAGUCACCAGCCUCGAGCCCCUCCAGAAGCAAGGUGAUGCGAGGGUACGAGUUUUACUAUUAAAGGUGUUUCCAUAGAAUGUGCGAGGUUAAAGCACUUGCAGCAAAAGCGUGGAGCUGCUUUCAACCAGAGUGCAAUAAUGCAGCCGUGCCCAUCUUGGUCUUGGUCUCCGCCUGAACUAUAGCAGAUGCUGGCAGCGGUAGCAGGGUGGUCCAUUAUAUCUAUGGAUGGCAAUGGUCGGAUUCGGAUGGAAUCGAAUUCGAAUAGCACUUUUUACCACAUACUAAUUCAAAUCCGAAUUCGGAUUCGGAUGUUCUCGAAUGCGAAUGCAAAAUGGAUGGUUCGAAUUCGAAUACUUAGCGGAUUUUUGCAUAAUAUUAAUCGAAUAGAAUUCAUUAAAUUUAGCCAAGAAAUUAAAUUUUCUGAAAUUAAAUACUUUCCCUUCGCCCCAGCGGCGGCCUAACUCCCAGGACGGUGGCGUGCGGGGCCCGAGCAUCCCUGGCCUCUAGUGGCGUGGCGGGGCGGCAUCCAGCAGCAGCGGCGGGGCUCGGCCUCCGGUGGCGCGCGGCCAGCCCGACCUACCCGGUCAGAGGUGGCGCAGCGGUGCGCGGGCCUCCCCGACCAGAGCCGGUGGGGAGCGGUGCGCGGGGAGGACCUCCCCAGCCGGAGGUAGCAGGGCGCGACCUCCCCGGCCGGAGGUGGCUCCCUGUGGGGGCGCGGCCGUGACAGCUAGCGAGGCAAUAAUUGCUUCCGUACGCAGCAAUAAUUGCUUGUGCGACACCGUGUUAUUACUCUGGUACAGUACUCCCUCCGUUGCAGUACACUGGUCCAGGCGUCAGGACACUGCUCCUGCCCUCGUGGUUCACGUGCAUCAGGCCAGCAGACAAGCUAUGAUGUUGCCAACAGUGUUUGUUUGAACAUGGAGAUGUCAUUGUGAUUGUCAGGGACCCGACACCAUGCAUGCCGAUUUCAUAUUCUUAAUAUUUAUUUUUUUAAUGGUUGUUGAAACUAUAUAGUUACUCCAAUAUCACGUUUCCGAUUAUAAAAAUUAACAUAAAGAGAUCGGAAGGGAGAGCCCGCAUAAUGAAGCCGACGCGUAUAAUAAGCACUAGAGCCGGCAUUUAUACAAACGGGUACGCAUAGUAAAAACUAGAAUUUAUAAAUAAAUGAAGAUAUUCAAAUAUCUGGCUUACUUUUUUCAUUAAUUUUGCAUGAAUAAGGGAUGAUUCAUUAAUCAUUAUUGAACAAAUUGGCACACAUGCUUCGUGCCCGCGUUGUGAGCAUUAUGCGAUGCCACUGAGCUGCACCACCACGGUAGAGGGCCUGUUUGCGAUGCCACCGAGCUGCACCACCACGGCAGAGGGUCUGUUUGGGAAGGGGAAGUUAAAGUUUAACACCCCCCAUUUAACACCUUUUUAACAAAAUGGCUGCUAAACACUUGUGUUAAAAGAGUAGUGUUAAAAUUUAACACCUCUCUUUUCAUAAACACAUGGAGGGGGUGUUAAAAUUUGCUAAAUGUGUUAAAAGUGGUCCCCUCCCCACUUAUUCCUUGGUUGCCCCCCUCUCUCUCCUCCUCUCUCUCCUACCCGCCGCAUUUAAGAGCAUUAUUGAGGGGUAAUGCAGUCCUUUUCCAACAAAAGUGUUAAACUUUAACAACCCUUCCCAAACAUGCCACAAGCAACACCACCGGCUGACUGUGCUAGCGGGGAGCACCCUCACCGCCUGCCCGUGGGGACUUCUUCUGCCGGCCAUCGUGUCUUUGUAGGACCGCCGCGUGAGCCUAUGAGCCACCGGUGGCCGUGCGCCCAAGGGCCAUCACCAUGCCACCUGAGGAUGCUGUCUACCCGGUGCCGCGUGCCUCUGCUAGCUGCUUGCACCUGGGCCGCCGCUGGUCGCCUGCACAGCCACGCGUUACAGCCGCCCCCCUGCGCUGGGCCACCCCAUUUCGUGUUGGAAGAACUGCCACAGUCUCGCGCACUGGGGUUUUGCUAGUGACGACCAUAGCCUCCAAGAUCAAAUGAAAAAGUUGGUACUCAAAACAUACAUCCAUUAAUCUAGUCGUGCUAAUCCUUACCACCAAAUAAAAACUAGCAUGUGUUGUGUUUUUGUGACCCUAAACGAUCACAAAUGAAUAACUUAUGGGCGUUGCUAGCCUAUAAGUUAUGGGCGUUUGUGACCCUAGUCGCGCCGGGGUCUUGCUGGUGACAACCAUGGUCUUCGCGAUAAAGUAUUAAGUCUCAUCGAGUUCUACAAUUUUGAUAUAAAAUUUCUAUUCAUCCGAGAUCAAAUGAAAAACAAAUGAAAAAAUCCGAAGUAUUAGGCUUCAUCGAGCUCUACAAUUUUGAUAUAAAAUUUCUAUUCAUCCGAGAUCAAAUGAAAAAAUCCGAGAUCAAAUGAAAAGUUGGAACUCAAAACAUACAUCCAUUAAUCUUGAUAUAAAAUUUCUAUUCAUCCGACAUCAAAUGAAAAAGUUGGUACUCAAAAUAUACAUCCUUUAAUCUAGUCGUGCUAAUCCUUACCACCAAAUAAAAAAACUAGCAUGUGUUGUGUGUUUCUGACCGUAAACGAUCACAAAUGAAUAACUUAUGGGUGUUGCUAGCGUCCCGGACGCUAGCAUCGGACGCAUGAGCAGCCGUCCGAUCGGGUCCGACACCACUUCACGAUCUGUCUUAAAAAAAAGUCCCACCGAAACAUUGUUCCAUGUUGCAUGAAAUACCCCACUAUCCAUCGCCAGGUCUACAGCAAGCACCACCUUCCAAUCUGCUGCUCACCCAAGCUAAAUAGGGGCAUUAAAAUUGCAGAAAUAUGUCACAUAUCCUUGUCAAAUUAAACUAAAUCGCAACAUCCGAAAAUUUCUUACACAAAACCAUGAAACAUAUCGAUUAGAUAGGUGUAACAAGAUGGAAUAUGGUAUCCAACAUAUAGAUUCCGAAAAACAGAUGAAACAUUAUGUAACGAUUGUUGAAACAGUCGAGAAAUAUAGAUGUAACGAUUAAAAUUUAGAAAAGAAGCUUUAUGCAAAUUGCAAAAAGCUGAAAUAAGUGGUUGAAACAUUUCGAAUCACCAAAUGCCACAUUUGAAAUGGCUACAUGAAACAUCACGAAAUCAAUUGCAACAGUUGAAGAUGAAAACAUUCAAAUGCCUUGCCUUUCUCCAGAUUUGACCCUCCAAGCAUGAGUCCAGCCAUUUGCACAUUAGACCCUUGGGAGGAGCUCACCGGAGAACAACAAGACCGUGUUCUCCAACAAUUUUCUGAUCAAAUUGCAACAGACAAAACAAAGCAUUGCAACAUCUGGCAUCACGAGCUACAACAUCAACAAGUUAGGAUCAGGAGAAAGAGGGAAAACACAAGCCUAACAACCCCAAGACAAAACUGAUGUACUCAUCAUACAUCACGGCUUGCCGUGCACAGAGAUGAAGGCCGCCAAGCUCAAUCGAGACAGAGACGACGUGAUAGUGCUCCAGAUCGACGGUCCCCAUCAAUUGUUGCGUACACUGCCAAAAGCAAUGGAAGAAGAAGGGUCGUCCCUGCUCGACCUCCGUAGAUGAGCGCAGAUUGGGGGAAACCGUAUAGAGUGCCGCUGACAGCACAGGCGAGGGGGCUCAGGCUUGAUUCAGGGUGAGGGUAGCGGGUAGCAUGAGGAGACAGUCAGGUUUCAUAGGAGAGAGGCGGAGUAGAGAGCUCUGGUGACUCGGUGAGGAGGGUGCGGCACGGAGAAAGGUGUGUAGCUGAAGGAGCUACAUGGUUGGGGCGAGGCGAGCGUAGAGACUAGAGAGGGAAAAAAAGCAUGGGGAGGAGACGAUAUGUGGUUGAUGGUGCGGGCACGUGGUGAGCGCACCGUAUGAAAAUUUUGCUCGCGUCGGAUGACUGAUGUGAAGCAUUACCCAAUCUUAAUUAUCUCCCAUAAUCCAAAACUCACAAAAACAUCAAAAAUCCGCCGAGAAUAAAUUAAGUAAACCAUGCACACACAGAUAAUAAAAUUGCUAAUAAGGCCAGAGAUAAUACAUGAACAUAUUAGACUGUUCAUGACACAUAUCACGGUGGAUAGUGUCUGUGUCCUUAUUACAAGCAAUGAGAGAUGCUUGUCACCACACACACGCGCACAGAUGCAUGACAUACAUAUAGUUGAGACCAACAGAUGGAUCAACUAGAGGUCACCCCAUAUGGUGAACAAUUUAUUGGAGAUAAACAUUAACAUAACUUGGCCAUAGCUUGAAGCAUAGCAACAUAUGCCUAUGAAUGGCGUUCAUGCUAUCGUUUUAGGCUUGUCCAGCUUCUUUCAUCUUAGCAAGCACUUCCAUUUCUACCAUCUUAGCAGCAACUGUCAAAUUGAGAUAUGGAAAUCCCAUUAGCGCAUGAUUAAUUUUGCAGUGGAAAUAGAGUGCAAGAUAUCUUCAUGAUGUAAAUAACAUGCCUGAAGUUGUGAGAUGGGAAGUGAAGUCAACAAAUUACAUUAACGGAAAUGCAUGGAAGGCCACACAUACGUAUUAGUCCAUAAUACGCUACAAAGCUUGUAUGUACAUAUAGCAAAUUAAAUGCAUUAAUUGAAUAGAGUGAGUUUAGUGAAUUUACCAGAAUCGUCCAGAAAACAUGGGAAACAGCAAGUGUGCUUGCAGACUGUGUCGGAGCCACCCACACGAAUACAAAGCUGACAACAUGCUUGUGCCUCGUGGGAUACGCAGCAGCCGCACUGUGCCGCGGUGGCCGAGUUAACAUUGAGGCUCAAGAUGAACAGGCACAUGAUCACCAUCAAAGUGGUAGUCCUCUUUCCCUCCAUUGCCUCCUGUCGCUGCUACCUUCCUUGGUUACUAGUAAGUUUAUUGGUUUUGUGUUGAGAGGUGAUUCUUGCAUUGAAUGGACGUUGCCGCGGCUGCAAUUUAUAGGCAGCUGCGCUAUGUGAUGAUAUGGACAAGGUGCAAAUGGGUGGUCCUGAUAU